This 1004-nucleotide long non-coding RNA is filed under the name Rattus norvegicus (Norway rat). Its description in RNAcentral is "long non-coding RNA NONRATT032280". The record is from RNAcentral. Lineage: Eukaryota; Metazoa; Chordata; Mammalia; Rodentia; Muridae.
UCUGUGCUCCGUGUUCUUUAAGAUGACGAGAUACUAAACUAUAGUAGCAAUCUCCUAGCUACUAAUAAUUGCCAGGUGCUGAGUUUUUCACUCCCUGGUCUACAGAGCAGUCAGUGAGGGUAUCUGAGACUGGACCAUCUGCCUGGCAAACAAUGCUUGCCGGCUGGCUGGUGGCAGACAGUGCUCAAGGACUGGAGAAGGCGGGUGUGACCCAGGGGCAUUCUUGCACUCAAGAGAUCCUGUGCCUCACCCCGCCCCCCAUCAGAUCAAUGGAUCAACUGUAACUGUGAUGUACCUGACCACCGUUCUCCAUACCUGCUCUCAGAAUCCAUGGCAAAAACAGGGGUCAGCCCCCUCUCCAGCUGAACUAGGUCACCUGAGGACACAGUUUCCAGGGAAAACAUCUGAGUGAGCCUCUCCAGUCCAUCUCAGCCUUGCUGGGGUCUAAAGCUCAUGGCAGCCCGAGACCCCAUAGCCACCAGUGCAGAAGACCAAGCCCACUGUCUCCAUCAACCUGAAGCCUGUCCAGAGCUCAGCAGAGACAAGUCACAUGCCAACUCCUACAGCUGGGUCCCUGUGUCCCCCUCCUCAGGGUGAGUCUCCUGACCCUAACUUCCCAUCGACAGCAGUCUGGAAGCCCAAAUCCUACUCAAUGACCAGCACACAGUAGGUACUUAAGAUCAGCAGAGAAGUAACAAGGAAUCCGCUAGUUCAGCCUCCAAAGCAGAGCCUCCAUGUGUAGGGGCAGAAGAAAGGGACCUCAUUUUUUGUCCUUUGUGCAAAUUAACAAUGAUGGCUCUACAGGGCAAGAGACAUUGCUUAUGACAACUGAGGCUCAACUUCAAGCUCACCCCCCACAAGAGAGCACCUGGACGCCUCUCCGAAGAGCAACAAAUACACUUUGGAGAGUGCCGGGGAUUGCCAGGAGCGCCAACUACAUUUCCAGCCUGACACCCAGCUGCAACAAAGCAGAUUCCUUUCUUCCCUUCUCUCGAAAAGCCUAA